Molecule: ribosomal RNA, 253 nt
Filed under: uncultured bacterium
Lineage: Bacteria
Description: partial 16S ribosomal RNA
Rfam family: Bacterial small subunit ribosomal RNA
Source: RNAcentral
GACAGAGGUGCCAAGCGUUAGGCGGAAUCACUGGGCUUAAAGCGUGUGUAGGCGGAUUGGUAAGUACCUUGUGAAAUCCCACGGCUCAACCGUGGAACUGCUUGGUAUACUGCUUAUCUUGAGCCACUUAGGGGCUGUCGGAACAAACGGUGGAGCGGUGAAAUGCGUAGAUAUCACUUGGAACGCCAAUGGUGAAAACAGACUGCUGGGGGUGUGCUGACGCUGAGACACGAAAGCCAGGGGAGCAAACGGG